CGGAGGGGAUGACCCGUGGGUAGGGGUGAAAGGCCAAUCAAACCCGGAGAUAUCUCGUUCUCCCCGAAAUAGCUUUAGGGCUAGCCCCGGCCGUUUUCCCGCGGCGGUAGAGCACUGGACGGAGGAGGGGGCCUCACCGCCUACCGAUGCCGACCAAACUCCGAAUGCCGACGGGACCUGAAGGCCGGGAGUCAGAGCAUGUGGGCUAAGCUGUGUGCUCGAGAGGGAAACAGCCCAGACCGCCCGCUAAGGCCCCCAAGUCGUCGCUGAGUGGCAAAGGAUGUGCCCCUGCCCAGACAACCAGGAUGUUGGCUUAGAAGCAGCCAUGCAUUCAAAGAGUGCGUAACAGCUCACUGGUCGAGUGGGGGCGCGCCGACAAUGCGCGGGGCUCAAGCACGGCGCCGAAGCGGCGGAAUCAAGCAAUUGAUUGGUAGGGGAGCUUUCCAUGCCGGGCGAAGCCGGAGGCGCGAGCCCCGGUGGACGGCAUGGAAGUGAGGAUGCAGGCAUGAGUAGCGAGAGAAUGGCGAGAAACCAUUCCGCCGAAAACCCAAGGUUUCCUGGGCGAGGCUAAUCCCCCCAGGGUCAGCCGGGAGCUAAGGCGAGGCCGCAAGGCGCAGCCGAUGCACGACGGGCAGACAUUCCCGUGCCGGCGCGGGCGCGCUACGACCGAUGGGACGACGGGGAAGGAUACGCGAGCGGGGUUCUGGACGUCCCCGUGAAAGCGCGUAGGGAGGGGCCCAGGGAAAUCCGGUCCCCACACAUCCCGAGACGCGAGACGAGCCGCACGGCGAAGUCGCGGAUUCCAUGCCUCCUAGAAAAAUCCCUAGGCAGCGCCCACGCCGCCCGUACCAAAACCGACACAGGUGGGUAGGAAGAGCAUUCCGAGGCGAUCGGGGCAACCAUGGUCAAGGAACUCGGCAUAAUCGUCCCGUAACUUAGGGAGAAGGGACGCCCCCCAGCGUGAACCGGCUCGCCCGGGAAGCGCCGGGGGGCCGCAGCGAAAGGGCCCAAGCGACUGUUUACCAAAAACACAGGACUCUGCCAAGCCGCGAGGCGAAGUAUAGGGUCUGACGCCUGCCCGGUGCCGGAAGGUCACGGGGAUCCGUUAGCCUUUGGCGAAGCGGUGAACCCAAGCCCCGGUAAACGGCGGCCGUAACUAUAACGGUCCUAAGGUAGCGAAAUUCCUUGUCGGGUAAGUUCCGACCUGCACGAACGGCGCAACGACUUGGGCGCUGUCUCGACCAUGGGCCCGGCGAAAUUGCAUUAUCCGUGAAGAUGCGGAUUCCCCGCGGAAGGACGGAAAGACCCCGUGAACCUUUACUGCAGCUUGGCAUUGGCCGCAGGCGCGGCGCGUAGAGGAUAGGCAGGAGGCUGCGAAGCCCGGGCGCCAGCCCUGGCGGAGCCGACCUUGGAAUACUGCCCCCGUCGCGUCGGCGGCCUAACCCGGGGACGGCCCGGGGACCGUGCCAGGCGGGCAGUUUGACUGGGGCGGUCGCCUCCCAAAGAGUAACGGAGGCGCGCGCAAGGUCCGCUCAGGACGGUCGGCAACCGUCCGCGGAGCGCAAGAGCACAAGCGGGCCUGACUGCGAGGCAGACAAGCCGAGCAGGGACGAAAGUCGGCUCUAGUGAUCCGGCGGCCCCGAGUGGAAGGGCCGUCGCUCAACGGAUAAAAGGUACUCCGGGGAUAACAGGCUGAUCUUGCCCAAGAGUCCACAUCGACGGCAAGGUUUGGCACCUCGAUGUCGGCUCAUCGCAUCCUGGGGCUGGAGUCGGUCCCAAGGGUACGGCUGUUCGCCGUUUAAAGCGGUACGCGAGCUGGGUUCAGAACGUCGUGAGACAGUUCGGUCCCUAUCCUCCGCGGGCGCAGGAGAAUUGAGGAGGGCUGCCCCUAGUACGAGAGGACCGGGGCGGACGGGCCUCUGGUGUCCCGGUUGUCGACCAACGGCACGGCCGGCUAGCCACGCCCGGAACGGAUAACCGCUGAAGGCAUCUAAGCGGGAAGCCGUCUCCGAGAUGAGUUCU
This 2022-nucleotide ribosomal RNA is filed under the name metagenome. Its description in RNAcentral is "bacterial LSU rRNA". It matches the Rfam family "Bacterial large subunit ribosomal RNA", at positions 796 to 2812 of the family's 2925-position model. The record is from RNAcentral.